RNAcentral lists this transfer RNA (78 nucleotides) under Thermales bacterium. RNAcentral describes it as "tRNA-Arg". It matches the Rfam family "tRNA". From Rfam's summary of the family: Transfer RNA (tRNA) molecules are approximately 80 nucleotides in length. Their secondary structure includes four short double-helical elements and three loops (D, anti-codon, and T loops). Further hydrogen bonds mediate the characteristic L-shaped molecular structure. tRNAs have two regions of fundamental functional importance: the anti-codon, which is responsible for specific mRNA codon recognition, and the 3' end, to which the tRNAs corresponding amino acid is attached (by aminoacyl-tRNA synthetases). tRNAs cope with the degeneracy of the genetic code in two manners: having more than one tRNA (with a specific anti-codon) for a particular amino acid; and 'wobble' base-pairing, i.e. permitting non-standard base-pairing at the 3rd anti-codon position. The record is from RNAcentral. Lineage: Bacteria; Thermotogati; Deinococcota; Deinococci; Thermales.
GUAUCCGUAGCUCAGUUGGAUUAGAGCGUCUGGUUUCGGCCCAGAAGGUCGGGGGUUCGAGCCCCUCCGGGUACACCA